AACGAACGCUGGCGGCAGGCCUAACACAUGCAAGUCGAGCGAGGACUUCGGUUCUAGCGGCGGACGGGUGAGUAACGCGUGGGAAUGUGCCCUUCUCUACGGAAUAGCCCUGGGAAACUGGGAGUAAUACCGUAUACGCCCUAUUGGGGAAAGAUUUAUCGGAGAAGGAUCAGCCCGCGUUGGAUUAGGUAGUUGGUGGGGUAACGGCCUACCAAGCCGACGAUCCAUAGCUGGUUUGAGAGGAUGAUCAGCCACACUGGGACUGAGACACGGCCCAGACUCCUACGGGAGGCAGCAGUGGGGAAUCUUAGACAAUGGGGGCAACCCUGAUCUAGCCAUGCCGCGUGAGUGAUGAAGGCCUUAGGGUUGUAAAGCUCUUUCAGCUGGGAAGAUAAUGACGGUACCAGCAGAAGAAGCCCCGGCUAACUCCGUG
RNAcentral lists this ribosomal RNA (433 nucleotides) under uncultured bacterium. RNAcentral's name for it is "partial 16S ribosomal RNA". It matches the Rfam family "Bacterial small subunit ribosomal RNA", at positions 29 to 507 of the family's 1533-position model. The record is from RNAcentral.